GCCCGGGUCGGGGCCCCAUGUUGAGAACCCUGCCACCCCAACUUGAGCGUGGUCUUUGGAGAGUUGCCCUGUGAAAAGGGGUGACUUUGCCAUGCUCCUUCCCAGUCCACCUCCUGUUAGUUACAGUUUCUCAUUCCUUUUGAGUAGCAGGCCCUGUUGCUCCACCUAAUCCCUGCAAAUAAACCGUCCCCCAAAUCAAAAUGAGUUCCAUCGGGAACUUUGUAGGAUUGGUCCUAAGAAGAUCCCGCCGAAUCUCUCCACCACUUCCAAGCAGAGUGCAGUAAAACCGGGGACUAAGCAAAGUGGCUGACAUGUAGUAAGUGCUCAAGAAAUGGAUGUUGACUAGAUGCUACCUCUCAUCUUUGCCUGUCUGAACUUUCAAGCACCGGAUGCGAGUAGACCGAGAGCCUCCGCCAACCAGGUCUCGCUCUGUCACCCAGGCUGGAGUGCUCUGGCAUAAUCAUGGCUCACUGCAACCUUGAACUCCUGGGCUCAAGAGAGCUAUAUGAAUUUUAAGGCACAGUCUCACUCUCUUGCCCAAUCUGGAGUGCAGUGGUGUGAUCUCGGCUCACUGCAACCUCUGCCUCAUGGGAUCAAGCAAUUCUCCUGCCUCAGCCUCCCAGGUAGGUGGGAUUACAGGCUGGAGUGCAGUGGUUCAAUCUCGGCUCACUACAACCUCCGCCUCCUGGGUUCAAGUGAUUCUUCUGCCUCAGUCUCCUGAGUAGCUGGGAUUACAGGU
This 739-nucleotide non-coding RNA is filed under the name Pongo abelii (Sumatran orangutan). Lineage: Eukaryota; Metazoa; Chordata; Mammalia; Primates; Hominidae. The record is from RNAcentral.